Molecule: ribosomal RNA, 253 nt
Filed under: uncultured bacterium
Lineage: Bacteria
Description: partial 16S ribosomal RNA
Rfam family: Bacterial small subunit ribosomal RNA
Source: RNAcentral
UACGUAGGGGGCAAGCGUUGUCCGGAAUUAUUGGGCGUAAAGAGCGCGUAGGCGGUCCGGUAAGUCGGUUGUGAAAGUCGGGGGCUCAACCCUCGGAUGCCGAUCGAUACUGUCGGGCUAGAGUCCGGAAGAGGCGAGUGGAAUUCCUGGUGUAGCGGUGAAAUGCGCAGAUAUCAGGAGGAACACCUAUGGCGAAGGCAGCUCGCUGGGACGUUACUGACGCUGAGACGCGAAAGCGUGGGGAGCAAACAGG